Molecule: unclassified non-coding RNA, 81 nt
Filed under: Halpernia humi
Lineage: Bacteria; Pseudomonadati; Bacteroidota; Flavobacteriia; Flavobacteriales; Weeksellaceae
Description: Chryseobacterium humi Flavo-1 RNA
Source: RNAcentral
CUUGCGCCCCGGCCUGAGUGAAGCUCUUUUUUGUGCAGCGCAGCGGAACAAAAAAAGCGGGAACGGAGGACGGAAAAGGCG